RNAcentral lists this ribosomal RNA (394 nucleotides) under uncultured bacterium. Its description in RNAcentral is "partial 16S ribosomal RNA". It matches the Rfam family "Bacterial small subunit ribosomal RNA", at positions 338 to 729 of the family's 1533-position model. The record is from RNAcentral.
CCUACGGGAGGCUGCAGUGAGGAAUAUUGGUCAAUGGGCGUAAGCCUGAACCAGCCAAGUCGCGUGAGGGAUGACGGUUCUAUGGAUUGUAAACCUCUUUUAUAAGGGAAUAAAGUGCGGGACGCGUCCCGUUCCGUGAGUACCUUAAGAACAAGGAUCGGCUAACUCCGUGCCAGCAGCCGCGGUAAUACGGAGGAUCCGAGCGUUAUCCGGAUUUAUUGGGUUUAAAGGGUGCGGAGGCGGCCAUUGAAGUCAGCGGUGAAAGUCCGGAGCUCAACCAUUGAAGUGCCGUUGAAACUGGUUGGCUUGAGUGAGUGAGAGGCAGGCGGAAUGCGUGGUGUAGCGGUGAAAUGCUGAGAUAUCACGCAGAACCCCGAUUGCGAAGGCAGCAUAC